Molecule: transfer RNA, 74 nt
Filed under: Phocaeicola coprophilus
Lineage: Bacteria; Pseudomonadati; Bacteroidota; Bacteroidia; Bacteroidales; Bacteroidaceae
Also listed under: 1 other name
Description: Bacteroides coprophilus tRNA-Gln
Rfam family: tRNA
About the family: Transfer RNA (tRNA) molecules are approximately 80 nucleotides in length.
Source: RNAcentral
UGGGCUAUGGUGUAAUGGUAACACAACAGAUUCUGGUCCUGUUUUUCUUGGUUCGAGUCCGAGUAGCCCAACCU